GUAUGCCUACAACAUAGCAUUAAUGCACCAUAUCCCAUUAGAACUUCGUAGUUAAGCGCACUCAUGCUAGAGUAGUAUUGGAAUGGGUGACCACCUGGGAAGUCCUAGUGUUUUACAUGCC
Molecule: non-coding RNA, 121 nt
Organism: Picea glauca (white spruce)
Lineage: Eukaryota; Viridiplantae; Streptophyta; Pinopsida; Pinales; Pinaceae
Source: Rfam